UUUAGGGUCUCCUCCUCUAAUUCCAGAGACUGCUCUCCUACAUUCACUUGAAGUUCCUCUGAAGGCUUGCGCAUGGUUAACCAAACUUCCUCAAAAUCAGCCAAGGUACGUCACGGUAACCGUUUCUGCAGCUGGUUCAAGGUGGAUUACACAGACUUGGGGUCAGGAAGCAAAUCCCUGGUUAAGCAGACAGGAACAAUGACUCGGUCUUGCGCAAAGCUGUAGCAUCCUGUACCACGCACCAUCUAUCUCUGACUGCGUCGUCCGAGGCCUGGCCUGAGGCUGUCCUCUUUGCUGGCUGCUACUAAAGUGAAUAUCAAAUACAAAUAUCAUAGAGUACAACUGUACCAGCAGUAAGUAUAUCUAGGAUUGUUACUGACAAAAAUAAACUAAUUCUGAAGAAAA
Long non-coding RNA from Pezoporus flaviventris, 405 nucleotides. RefSeq lists it as uncharacterized. The record is from RefSeq and is a predicted model, not a curated record. The transcript has 2 exons. NCBI's taxonomy places the organism in Eukaryota, Metazoa, Chordata, Aves, Psittaciformes, Psittacidae.